GACGAACCGUGCGAACGUUGUUCGGAAUCACUGGGCUUAAAGGGCGCGUAGGCGGGCCCCCUUGUCCGGGGUGAAAGCUUUCGGCUUAACCGGAAAAGUGCCCCGGAAACGGGGGGCCUGGAGGGAGGUAGGGGCAGCCGGAACUUCCGGUGGAGCGGUGAAAUGCGCAGAUAUCGGGAAGAACACCCGUGGCGAAGGCGGCUCUCUGGGACGGUACUGACGCUGAGACGCGAAAGCGUGGGGAGCGAACAGG
This 253-nucleotide ribosomal RNA is filed under the name uncultured bacterium. RNAcentral describes it as "partial 16S ribosomal RNA". It matches the Rfam family "Bacterial small subunit ribosomal RNA", at positions 524 to 776 of the family's 1533-position model. The record is from RNAcentral.